RNAcentral lists this long non-coding RNA (1393 nucleotides) under Anas platyrhynchos platyrhynchos (common mallard). Its description in RNAcentral is "lncRNA (ENSAPLG00000021314.1)". The record is from RNAcentral. Lineage: Eukaryota; Metazoa; Chordata; Aves; Anseriformes; Anatidae.
UACUCAGCCUCAUUGGUUAAAGUAACUAGUUUCAAGGCUGGACUUCCUCCUGGUUUUUUGAAGUAAAAAUAUUUUACACUAACGUGAAAUAUAAGAAAAUAUUCUACACUAUACUUUAUUCCUAUCGUAAAGAAGCUCAUCUUAUAGUUCUUUCAGUACAAAUAGCAAGUGCAUGUUCCCAGCACGGCAGUCCUGAUAUCACGUGUGAGGUGGCUCCCAGGAUAGAGUUACUCCAGAUUAAAAUUAAUUUGCAUUUGAACCAGAGGCUGGAUUGCACUUUUCCAUGGCUGCACCCCAAAGCACACAGUUGCAUCCACUGGGAUCCCUCUGAAGAGAAAAGAGAAGCUGUCCUUCUAGUGGGCUGACUACAGGCAGCAAUGCAGCCAGUCUCUGCGACUCCACAAACUGCAGCCUACAAACCACCGACCAGAGCUCGGGCUCAUUUAUCACCAGCCAGGGAGCUGAUGACUUCCACUUGUACCUCGGUGCCCACCCCUGCUGACAAAUGAGCCGUGGAAAAGAGGUAGGGAAAGGUGGAGCUCGCUGCAGGCACUGACUUCUUGGAACAAUAACAAUUCUGCUCUUGAAUUCUGGAACGUGCUGUGCCUUAAGCGUGACAUUGAGAAGUGCUGUGUUGCUUUGUCCCCAGCUCUUACACCCACCUGGGGUCUUAGCACCCCAGUUUUUCUCCUCCUGCCUUAGUUUUCCCUUGCCUGUCAGCUUUGGGGCUGGGGAGGAGUGGAAGUGACUUUUCUGGGGUCCCUGUGCCAGCUUGAUCAGACGGGUGAAGAUGUACCCUCUCCUCGGAGGAGUUACCUAAAGUAAGGGAAGGCGUACACAGCCUGACCAUUCACAGCACCUUGCUCAGCCCAGCCUCAAGGACCACCAUCUCUGCCUGACCCUAAAAGUUGAGGUUGUUGGGCUUCUCCCAGCUUGUGCACAAGAGGAGCACAGCUCAUUUUUUGUGUACUGGAGUAAAUGCCUGCCUUGCCUUCAACCAGCGAUGCACACACACCAUACAGCAGCACAGUGGAUGAAAGACAAGAGCGUUACCUCACCAUUGCAGGCACAUCACUGCAGCUGGUGCUAAUAGGAAAUGUAUCUUCUUCAGAGGUGCUGGACGCAUUUUGCACAGUUAAGUUGAGCCUGCCCAUGUGAACAGCAUCAAACAACUAUUAAAAGACACCCCGCUCCCCCCCAAAGGGAACACCAGUGGCGAAUAUCUGAAAACCUCCUCGUUAACAAGGUAACCUUUGAGACUGGUGAGAAGACAAGGGAGCGUUUACCAGCCGCUGUAUUGAUAAUUAUGGGAAAAGAAAAUCGCAGCUCAUUGUCUAUCCCAGUGGGGUGAAAGAGAAAUAAAUAAGGCAGGAACAUCUUGUGCCGUGCCUAU